AGCUAUUUCAUUUCUGCUGCAUGCAUAAGCUACUAAGGGCAAAAAUACUACUCUUGUUAUUGCUUUCUUUAGGAGGAAACACAGUCAGCUUCCAUCUAGCCUAUUAAAACAGCUGAUAGUUAAUUCUGAUGUCUGCAGAACUCUUCAAAGAACAACUAGGAGUUCAUUGCUGUGCUAAUACAAGCAAAUAGAUAACGCCUUCUGUGAUUUUAGAUACAGCUGGAAGGCACAAUUAACCAGCUGUGCCCUCCUUAAGUGACUGGUGCCCCAACCCUGACUUGGAUAGGACCUGAUUAUGCACUGAAUCGAAUUCAGUAACUGAAGCAUUAGUAACAGAAUGAGAUACUAGGAUAUUCACCAUCACUGCCAGCGACAAAUGCGUUGUUCUUGCCCGUUGGGUCUGUAAGAGAUGACACAAAGCAUAAAGGAUUCUCUGCUUAACAAUAAUUCUGAUCAAAAUGUGAAAAGCUUUUUCACUGCCAUGUCAAACCUUGAAAAUAAUUGGCAUUUAUGAAGACAGGGCCAUGGAACAGUGGUUGCCUGCGUGAUUCCAGUUUCAAGUGUCACCACCUCUGUGGAGUUCAAAUGCCUUUUCUUUAAAGAAAGGUGGAUAUUUGCCACAUUAGGCCACUGCUGCAAUUUCUGGGGACCAAGACCCAGGUGGAUAUAAAAAUGGAAAAGGAGCUAAAAUUGUAAGAAAUCGGAUUAACCUGGUUCAAGGGAAGAUCAAGUCCAGAUUUCUGUUGGACCAUCUGGAGAGAGGGAGGGAUGAGAAAGAAGAACCUCUGAUGGACUGAUUAGAAGAAAAACUACCAGAAAACUCCAAAAAGGAAAACAAUAAAAAAAUCUAAAUGAAAACCAAGCUGCAGAGUUGAGAAAGAGAUUGGAGUGGGAAAAUUGUUACUUGUAUUUGUUCAGGCAGGGGUCAUUAAAGCAACAGCAAAGAAGCAUUCAUUAUAGAGAAAGAACUAUAGCAAUAAUAUCAGAGGAGCUCCCUGAUGGAGAGAAGCUUGAAUGACUGUAAAUAGUGUUUUUGAGUUUAAAGAGGAAGAGAAGUAAGGAGAUAGCUAGAGGAGGAGGAUGGUUCUUUGCUUUGCCCAUGAGGCAGGGAAGGAUGGCUGAAUAUGCUUUUAUUUGCUAUGAAGGAAAAGCAGUCAACGUAAAAAUUAGGAAGAAGGGUUACAACUGUAGACCAGUAAGGUCAGAAGACUGGGAGAACUGGGCUCAGUAAGGCCAGUGAAAGUCAAAAACACAGUGAUGGUAAUGGAGAUGGAAAAGUAGCUCUUGCCUCCCUGUAGUCACAGAUUGAAACUCUUUGAAGUGCACAUUUGAACACCAAAAUGCUGUAGGAGAGGAGGAAGUCAGCUUAAUUCUCAGCAAAAAAGAUCUGCACUUCAAAACCUGAGGGAGGUGAAACCUCAGGCAAUGAAUUCUUGACAGAAGUUCUUUCACUGGAGGUUUUUAAGGACAAGUUACACCAAGUAAGAUUUCAGUCAUAGACUGCCUUAGGUCAAGCCCUGUGCUGUGACUCUUAUGACUACAUAUGCACGUGAACAUCAUGAAGUCUGUGUGGUUACGAGAUGGGGAUGUGUCAAGCUAAGCGAUGGCUUUGGAUGGUGUGUCCAGGUGUUGCUUAUGUGUCAUGCACAAUGCCCAGACAUUCGUCUGUCACAUGGCAGGGACUUCGGGAAAGAGGCUUCAACCCAAAUGAGCUGAUGCUUGGGCUUGAAAUGAUAUGCUGGGUGAGCCUGGAAAUUAAUCUUUAGGAGAAGAGCUAUUUAAUGGCAUCUUAUUUGCAGCACUACUUGACAUGAGCAAUAACCAAACCUUGUCCUCACUUUCCCCCUCCCCCCGUCCCCCAGGCAUACAAAAAAAUAGGUGAAUAAAGUAAUUGACACACUUGCAACACCAAAGAAAAACAACCUGUUGAUCUUGAUCCCACUGUACUCUACAAGGCAGCAAAAAGUCAGGUUCCAGACUGCUUUAUGUAGCUGCUGAAGAGCUUAAUUUGUGUUAAUAUCCAUUUUGGAAUAAUUAUUCAUAUUGGAAUUCUGUCUGACUGUGCAAGGUGAGACAGUUCAAUUAUUUAAUCAUGCCAUCACUCUCAAUUUGAAAGGCCAGUGCUAGAGCAAAUGUGCUUUCUGUUUAAUUUAUACCAAUACUUAACCUAGUUGGUCUGUUCCCUGUUUGCAUGUCUUCAGUCAUGUAUCAGUGUAAUGGAUCGUUCCUUCAUUUUUAUAUCUGCCAGAUUUUAUGAGUCUCACAUUGAGCGGGUGGCUCUGAAUAUGAAAGCUUUGUUCAUCUGCACGUGCGUUUCUACAGAUGCAAGGAAGCUGGAGGAAAAUGGGAAAGCAGAGAUUUCUUUAAGUCUGUCCUCUUGCAUACGAAGACGUAAAGCUUUGUAAUUUCAGUAUGUAUCUGCAAAUAAAUUAGAACUGCUGAUUACUUCUGUAGUUCUUUGUUUCAUUUUCCUUUGGGCUCCUUUGGUAAGUAUAGCUUUCUGCCAGCAAUGCAGUUAGUAUAAGCUUUUCAUGUGCU
This is a long non-coding RNA of Dromaius novaehollandiae (emu), 2538 nucleotides long. RefSeq lists it as uncharacterized. The record is from RefSeq and is a predicted model, not a curated record. Lineage: Eukaryota; Metazoa; Chordata; Aves; Casuariiformes; Dromaiidae. The transcript has 3 exons.